GGAGGGCGGGGCUGCAAGUUCCCGGGGUAAGUUGUUCCGACAGUUAUAACUUUGCAAAGAAAAGAGAUAGCAAUACAUGUGAAGUGCGUCGCUUAAGCAUUAGGUGACGCGCAGCGCUGGCGGCCAUGUUAGUUGCUCCGGCGGCGGCGGACGAGUGGCUGCGUGCACGGUGCUAUUAAAACACCACGAUGGUACGUACCUACAGGCGCAAAACUGAACGCGGUAAAACUCCCUGUAACCAUGAACACUUCAACAUUGGGUCGGAAUGGUGAACAACCUCAGCAACCGGCAAAAGAUCAGUUAUGUUUGUUUUUUCAAGUUCUGUCAUGGAAGUGCCAUAUAUUUAAGUUAUAAAAAAGUGUUUACCUGGAUAAUUAUUGUAUCCCUAAUUAAUAUUAAGUAUGCAGGUAGUUACAUUUAUAAGCUAAAGGAUCUCAAUUUUAGUUAAACAGUACAUAAUGUUCGUAUAAUUGUGUAAUUUGUGUAACUAGUAGUUUUGUUGUUAUUUUCUUAAUAUUUUAUAACGGUGCCUUAACAUAAAUAAAUGUAACGAUUA
RNAcentral lists this long non-coding RNA (556 nucleotides) under Leguminivora glycinivorella. Its description in RNAcentral is "uncharacterized LOC125242023". Lineage: Eukaryota; Metazoa; Arthropoda; Insecta; Lepidoptera; Tortricidae. The record is from RNAcentral.